This 61-nucleotide small RNA is filed under the name Sinorhizobium meliloti 2011. RNAcentral's name for it is "putative ncRNA". Lineage: Bacteria; Pseudomonadati; Pseudomonadota; Alphaproteobacteria; Hyphomicrobiales; Rhizobiaceae. The record is from RNAcentral.
AUGUCGGAAAGAAGCCUCGCCGGUGCGCCGCCGCGUUCGGCGAUAUCGGAGAGCAUGGCAC